Molecule: transfer RNA, 76 nt
Filed under: Clostridioides difficile
Lineage: Bacteria; Bacillati; Bacillota; Clostridia; Peptostreptococcales; Peptostreptococcaceae
Description: tRNA-Pro(tgg)
Rfam family: tRNA (bases 9-67)
About the family: Transfer RNA (tRNA) molecules are approximately 80 nucleotides in length.
Source: RNAcentral
UCGAGGUGUAGCGCAGUUUGGUAGCGCACAUGGUUUGGGACCAUGGGGCCGGGGGUUCGAGUCCNCUAGCGCUGAU